This 237-nucleotide ribosomal RNA is filed under the name uncultured bacterium. RNAcentral's name for it is "partial 16S ribosomal RNA". It matches the Rfam family "Bacterial small subunit ribosomal RNA", at positions 99 to 339 of the family's 1533-position model. The record is from RNAcentral.
CGAACGGGUGAGUAAUAUAUCGGAACGUACCUAGUAAUGGGGAACAACCAAUCGAAAGGUUGGCUAAUACCGCAUACGACCUACGGGUGAAAGCAGGGGAUCUUCGGACCUUGCGUUAUUGGAGCGGCCGAUAUCUGAUUAGCUUGUUGGUAGGGUAAAAGCCUACCAAGGCGACGAUCAGUAGCUGGUCUGAGAGGACGAUCAGCCACACUGGAACUGAGACACGGCCCAGACUCC